GCCGGCAUAGCAAAGUGGUUAAUGCGUCUGCCUCGUAAGCAGAAGGUCGCCAGUUCGAUUCUGGCUGUCGGCU
RNAcentral lists this transfer RNA (73 nucleotides) under Tetrahymena thermophila SB210. RNAcentral describes it as "Tetrahymena thermophila tRNA-Thr for anticodon CGU". It matches the Rfam family "tRNA". Rfam says of the family: Transfer RNA (tRNA) molecules are approximately 80 nucleotides in length. Their secondary structure includes four short double-helical elements and three loops (D, anti-codon, and T loops). Further hydrogen bonds mediate the characteristic L-shaped molecular structure. tRNAs have two regions of fundamental functional importance: the anti-codon, which is responsible for specific mRNA codon recognition, and the 3' end, to which the tRNAs corresponding amino acid is attached (by aminoacyl-tRNA synthetases). tRNAs cope with the degeneracy of the genetic code in two manners: having more than one tRNA (with a specific anti-codon) for a particular amino acid; and 'wobble' base-pairing, i.e. permitting non-standard base-pairing at the 3rd anti-codon position. Lineage: Eukaryota; Ciliophora; Oligohymenophorea; Hymenostomatida; Tetrahymenidae. The record is from Rfam by way of RNAcentral.